CACCCGUUCCCAUACCGAACACGGAAGUUAAGCUCUUCAGCGCCGAUGGUAGUUGGGGUGUUUCCCCUGUGAGAGUAGGACGUUGCCGGGC
This 91-nucleotide ribosomal RNA is filed under the name Bacillus solimangrovi. Lineage: Bacteria; Bacillati; Bacillota; Bacilli; Caryophanales; Bacillaceae. The record is from RNAcentral.